This 912-nucleotide long non-coding RNA is filed under the name Cricetulus griseus (Chinese hamster). RNAcentral describes it as "lncRNA (ENSCGRG00015035742.1)". Lineage: Eukaryota; Metazoa; Chordata; Mammalia; Rodentia; Cricetidae. The record is from RNAcentral.
AGUGAGAGGAGUAACAGGUCUGGACUCUUUCUCUGGGUUUCUCUGUAGCUUUGGAGGCUGUCCUGGAACUAGCUCCUGUAGACCAGGCUGGUCUCUAACUCACAGAGAUCCACCUGUCUCUGCCUCCUGAGUGCUGGGACUAAAGAUGUGAGCCACCAACGCCCGGCCUCAGUCCUGAAUUCUUAAUGUGCUGUGAAAACCUCAACUGAGCAUUUUCUUCAUCAAAGCGCCCUUCGCCUGGUUCGAUGUCAUCACAAGCCCGUGCCCAUGCCCUGCAUGCUCGAGUGAGCCCUCAUCCCAUGCCUGACCUUUGGAAUCAACUUCUUCGUGGGAAAGCAACCUGUGCCUCCACUGAGCACAAGUGCACAGGGCUAUUUUGAGCCACCACUCUCUGGAAUCAUGACAGCCUGACUUGUGGAAUUGGAAGUAGGUCACCAACUAAUCUCUUCCAAGUGACAAAAAAAAAAAAUGCAUCUGCAGAACCCAUGAAGACAAGAGGGCAGCCCGUCUUUACCUUUUGCUAACCCACCCACACUCCCCUGGAAACUGGAGACACAGCAGAGUUACCCAGAAUGUAAUAAUUCACCAAGAACUGGUUUUAGCCAGGUGUGGUAGUGACAUGCUUACAAUUGGGAGACAGAAGCAGGAAGAUCAUAAAUUCAAGGCCUACCUUGCCUACGGAGGGAGUUUGAAAAUGGUCUGGAUUAUCAUGCCACUCAUCUAAAAUAAAAAUAAAAAAGAAAAACCAAUUGGUUCUAGUGGCAUCCAUUAAAUGGCACAUUAGGUCCCUUCAGUUGCUACAGGCAAAAGCCUAAAUCAGUCUGAGUUAGAGAUGGACUCACUGGCUUCUCUGGGGAAAAAGGACUGACACUGACCAGAAAUCCUUAGGGGGUUUCUAUAGUGUGGAUCUCG